This 459-nucleotide ribosomal RNA is filed under the name uncultured bacterium. RNAcentral's name for it is "SSU rRNA". It matches the Rfam family "Bacterial small subunit ribosomal RNA", at positions 26 to 518 of the family's 1533-position model. The record is from RNAcentral.
AGAAUCAACGCUGGCGGCGUGCCUAACACAUGCAAGUCGCACGAGAAAGGGACUUCGGUCUUGAGUAAAGUGGCGCACGGGUGAGUAACACGUGAAUUAUCUACCUCCGAAUGGGGAAUAACUGAGAGAAAUCUUAGCUAAUACCGCAUAAUACCUACGGGUCAAAGCAGCAAUGCGUUUGGAGAGGAGUUCGCGGUCGAUUAGUUAGUUGGCGGGGUAAUGGCCCACCAAGACGAUGAUCGAUAUCCGGCCUGAGAGGGCGCACGGACACACUGGAACUGAAACACGGUCCAGACUCCUACGGGAGGCAGCAGUGGGAAUUUUGCGCAAUGGGGGAAACCCUGACGCAGCAACGCCGCGUGGAGGAUGAAAUAUCUUGGUAUGUAAACUCCUUUCGAUGGGGAAGAUAAUGACGGUACCCAUAGAAGAAGCCCCGGCUAACUUCGCGCCAGCAGCCGC